This 1109-nucleotide long non-coding RNA is filed under the name Equus caballus (horse). RNAcentral describes it as "lncRNA (ENSECAG00000038885.2)". Lineage: Eukaryota; Metazoa; Chordata; Mammalia; Perissodactyla; Equidae. The record is from RNAcentral.
UUCCCAAGAGAAGGCAAAAGUUGGAUUGUCCUGGUGCCCAUCUUUGAGGUUCUGUUUGUGUGGAUGCUUGUACCUGAUUAUACACCAUCUCUUAAGAAGUCCUACCUAGGCCUACUUUUCAAGUACAGAGAGAGUCAUUGUUGACAAGGUGUAACAGCAACGCAAACAUCUUGUUGGCCAGCCCAGCUUGGCUUUGACCGCUUCACCGAGAAAGGACAAAGUGUGAUCAAGAUACCAAUAUUAAGUGUGAGUACAAAAUCUCAUUUAAGACACACAACAAAGAACUCCAGAACCUUAUCUAGGUUCUGUCUUUAAAUUCUAUUUCUAAAAAAGCUCUCAUUUUAACUUGUUCAAAAAUUAUCUUAUUAGUUGAUCCACUCAUCACGAUUACAGAGUGAUCACUGUACAUGAACAUAACCUGGUGCUAUGGUAGAUUCAAGGUGAUUGGAACAUGGUUCCUGGCUUUAAGGAACCUAUGAUCCAGUAAGGGAGAUAGACAAAUACGCAAAAACAUAUACUGUAAGCAGGCCUAAAAGAAGCAAAAGUUUUUAUGUGCAUUCAUAGGAAGGAGUGAUGAACCAUGAAGGAGAAAUUAGGCAAGUAUUCACAAAGGAAGUGGAAUUUAGAAAUGGCCCCCAACUAUAAGCAGAGCUAGUGGCUGGGUGGAGGGCAUUCAUGAGUGAUGUGAAAGCAUGACUGAAGUCAGUUAAAAAAUAGUGAGUGGGUCUUGAUUUCUAAAUCAAAGGUGCAUGCAUUCAUUCAUUCAUGCAACAAAUAAUUAAUGAAUGCCUAGUUCUGAGGCCAUAUUCUACUAGGUACCAGGUGUAUAGUGGUGAACAAAAUAGACUUUGUCUGUGCUCUAUGGGGCAAAUUACUACCUGGCGAGGAGGCAGACAGUGAACAGUAAACAAGCCAUCAACAUAUUGUUUCAACUUGUAAUAGGUCCUACAAAGACAUAAGCAAAGGAUGGAGGGGGAAAAUAAAUAACAAGGGAGGUGCACUUCAGAUAAGCAGAAAUCUCUUAGGGGGAGAUAUUUAACUUCAGACCUGAAAGAUGAAAAGUAGCCAGAGAAGGAAAGAAGAGGCUGAGAGGGCAAAGAAUGUUCCAA